CUCUGCAACCUCAUUACAGGUGCCCCGUGGCCUUCAGCCAUUCAGGGGAUAAUCGGGAAGUCAGGUGAAAAUCCUGCGCUGCCCCCGCAACGGUAACGAAAAGUGACAGGCUGAUACAACGCCACUGUGGAGAGAUCCAUGGGAAGGCUUCAGUCCAUCGGAACUGGCCCUUGACGCCAGAACCCUUUUCCAAGCCCGGAGACCGGCCAGUAAUGGUGCGAACCU
RNAcentral lists this non-coding RNA (225 nucleotides) under Marinobacterium lacunae. RNAcentral also lists the same sequence under 1 other name. The record is from RNAcentral. Lineage: Bacteria; Pseudomonadati; Pseudomonadota; Gammaproteobacteria; Oceanospirillales; Oceanospirillaceae.